This 1416-nucleotide ribosomal RNA is filed under the name Triticum aestivum (bread wheat). Its description in RNAcentral is "partial small subunit ribosomal RNA". The record is from RNAcentral. Lineage: Eukaryota; Viridiplantae; Streptophyta; Magnoliopsida; Poales; Poaceae.
AUGUGCAGCCCGAUUUCCCCCGCGACAUCCUCCAAAGCUUCCACACAUUGGUCAAGGAGACGGCACAUUCCCCACAUCCUCCUCCUGAUGGCAGCCUCGUCAGGCCAUGGAAACUCGCAUUCGUGGUCACUGACGCGAGUGCUCCUCGAUACGAUCCAUGGAUUCUACCUGCAGGCUCUCGCCAGAUUGCCGGUUGGUUACCACCGCAGCCUGCUCGAUGCCGGACAUUGCUACGGCCCGUUUGACCCCGUCUCGAACAUCAUCGUCAACACCAUCUGGUACCAAGCCAACUUCCCACCACUGAGUCAGCAAGACGAGCUCGACAUUGUCGGCACAUUGUGCCUAAUGCGGAUUGAAGCACGAUCCUUCUACGGACUUGUCUCCUUCCUCUGCACCUGUUACCAAGAUCUCAACGCCGAUCAGGCCAUAAGGUUCCUGCUCGACACGGCACUCAAUUUGUCCGCAACAAAGCACUGCAGCAGUGUCAAGGAAGAACAAGAAGCCUACCGGGCUGCUGCCAUUGCGGCAUGGCACCCCAGACCCGACGCCCAAGCAGGAUUCCUCAGUUCAUUAAAGGCGAUGUUGGUAGCGCCUCGUGUCCUGUCACUGCUACAAGAUGGAGGCCAGUAUCAGCUCUCCUCUCAAUGUGUCCACCAGAUACACACGCUAUUGUGCUCUGAAUACCAUUCCAUUGUUGGUGUCCCAACCCAUCAGCAGAGGCCAGCUCCCAUUUCUGAACGGCAGUUCCAUUUUACCAUGUCUGAGGGACGUAAACAGCGAAGGGCUCAUAGAAGGAUCUCCGCAAAGGUCAAGGCUGCACUAAUGAGAUAUGAGAAGCAGAAUUCAGGACACUCUUAUCGGCUUCAUGUGGUGUGUGGUGUGAAUGAAUGUGUGUCAGGUCCUGACAACUGCGAAGGCUCGGGCUUGAAGCCAGGACUUGAUCCUAAUGAUGACUACUCCCAUCACACCCAUGCCAACUUUCUGGCGACUCGAAAUGUGGCCGGCAUAGUUUCAGCUCCUGUACUCUUCUUUGCCGAGCUUAGCAACCACGACGACGACCAGGAUAGCCAGCUUCUGUGUUGCCCCGUGGAUUUGCCACCACCAGGCGCUGCAGGACUAGUCCGCUGCCUUUUCUGCGAGCAUCAAGGAAUCAGGAUUGUGCACCCGGCCCUGGAGAGAUUCCAUGGGCACAAGGCGGAGUUCGAGAAGAUGGUCCGCGGAGAAAACCUGUACAAUAAUGACUACUAUCCCGAGGGCGACAUCGAGCCCUACACUAACCAUCAAAUCUUAAAGCACAGUGAAUAUGUUGCCAGGUGGGUGCACGACGGACUCGACGAGGAUUGCAUGUACCUCGGUAGCAAUGACUUCAACAUCGAGGAAGAUGAAAGCGAGGAGGAGGUUGACGACCUGGAGUAA